CCUACGGGAGGCAGCAGUGGGGAAUAUUGGGCAAUGGAGGAAACUCUGACCCAGCGACGCCGCGUGCGGGAUGAAGGCCUUCGGGUUGUAAACCGCUUUCAGCAGGGAAGAAGCGAAAGUGACGGUACCUGCAGAAGAAGCACCGGCUAACUAUGUGCCAGCAGCCGCGGUAAUACAUAGGGUGCAAGCGUUGUCCGGAAUUAUUGGGCGUAAAGAGCUCGUAGGUGGUUCGUCACGUCGGAUGUGAAAAUCUGGGGCUUAACCCCAGACCUGCAUUCGAUACGGGCGAGCUUGAGUAUGGUAGGGGAGUCUGGAAUUCCUGGUGUAGCGGUGGAAUGCGCAGAUAUCAGGAGGAACACCAAUGGCGAAGGCAGGACUCUGGGCCAUUACUGACACUGAGGAGCGAAAGCGUGGGGAGCGAACAGGAUUAGAUACCCUGGUAGUCCACGCCGUAAACGGUGGGCACUAGUUGUGGGGACCUUCCACGGUCUCUGCGACGCNGCUACGCAUAGUGCCGCCGUCGGGAGGUACGAGUCGCGAAGAAUUAAACUAACAAGUAGAAGUUAGACGGCGUGAGACGUGCCGACGGACGACGACGAGGGAGGUUAGG
RNAcentral lists this ribosomal RNA (610 nucleotides) under uncultured bacterium. Its description in RNAcentral is "bacterial SSU rRNA". The stretch from base 1 to 522 matches the Rfam family "Bacterial small subunit ribosomal RNA", at positions 338 to 873 of the family's 1533-position model. The record is from RNAcentral.